UUGGUUUUGUUUCAUGUACCUUUCCUGGCAACAGGGUCCAUUUUGUUCACUGGUUACCAUAGGAGCCUGCUUGCUCUCAAGAGCAGUAAGUGUUCCCGGGAAGUCAGCAAACUACAGGAAAGGACGGAUGAACAGUCUCUUGCCCAGAUUAUGAGUCAACAGAUCAUGAGCAUUUUUGCUGGCUUUUCAAAAGUUUCAUGCCUAUACAGUCCAAUGAAUUAAAAUCCCCAAUGAUUCAGCUCGUGCUCAACAUUCUGAAUAAGUGCCACGCUUUCUCAGAACUGGGCCAUAUAGUAAAGGCACAGUCAGUGACAACUCAUCCAGAUACCCUAAGGGCCAGCUACAUUCCUGCACCAAACUACUCUGGAGACUCCAAAGUCAGUGCAGAUUGGAUUCCAAUUUAAUACCAACAAUCCUGACCUUUCAGAUGAUCAAAUUAAGGAGAAGAAACACAAGUAAAUGGAAGCUUUUGCUUUAGAAUGGCAAUUUGAGAAGCAUUCAAAUAUUGUCCUAGGAGGACUUCGUACCUUCCUAGAAAUUGACUCUUCCCUUCUCAUUAUAUUCUGACCUUUGAAAUGGAGCACUUUGCUCCAGAUGCAGUAGCUGAAAUGAAAUGGUACUUUAGGUUCCGGAGAGGGCGGUUUUCAGGCAAAGCAACCAGGCACCAGGGAAGGUGGAGACUGUAAACCAAAAACUUUGUACUAUACUUGGAAUUGAAAAUUGAUCAAUCUGCCAGAACAGACAUCUCCUGUAUUCGGACACCUGGUAUCUAAUCUAGUAAGCAUUCUAAUUGUUCUCAUUUCUUCCAUGACAAAAUACAAACUGCUGCCUGAAGAGGAAAAAAAAAAAAGAAUAUUCAAGAUAAUGUUGAUUAUAGGGUCAAAGAUCCACUCUGAACAGCCUCUCUUCUGCAGCUCAUUGACUUUUCUCCAGUUCUUUUCCACAUCAACAAUGUAUUUCGAGAAGGCUCUCUGGAGCAUUUCAAAGCAAUAUCAUCUUGAGUCUUCAUGAAAUGAACUACAUCAAUAAAGUUUAUUGAAAAUUGAGAUGGAAAAUCUAUAUAAGAGCCGGGCGUGGUGGCACACGCCUGUAAUCUCAGUGGUUCAGGAGGCUGAGGCAGGAGAAUUGUGAGUUCAAAGCCAGCCUCAGCAAAAGCAAGGUGCUAAGCAACUCAGUGAGACCCUGUCUCUAAAUAAAGUACAAAAUAGGGCUGCAGAUUUGGCUCAGUGGUUGAGUGCUCCUGAGUUCAAUCCCCAGUACCCCCCCCCAAAAAAAAUCCUAUAUAAGUUCAUAUGUAUGAGAAAUUACAUCUUAAGAUGUCUGAGACUCUGAUAAAGCCUACAAUUCUCUCCAAAUCGUCCAUAACCAAGGCGUGGGGGCACCCAGAUAUGCACUUUGAUGAUUAGAGACCCCCCAAUAUACAUGGAUUGUCUUCCUUUCACUCAAAACAGCAUGUGCCUGGUGGUGGAAAAAAACAUGUCAAAUCCAUACUUUCCUGUAAUAUCCAAAGCAUUUGAUCUUCACAGUAGACAGGCCUUCUAUAAAGUGACAUUUGGGGGAUAGAGUCAAAUGCCCUCUACAGUCUCAUUCGAUUCCUACUGAUAAACUGCCUUUUAAUUCAGGAUGAAAGGAAAUGGCAGAAAGUGCAUAAGAAUCUUGGGGCACAGUCUCACUGUCCUAUAGGGCUCUUCCCUUCUAAGUCAAGAACAGCACAGUCUACAAAGACAGGAGAGAGAUCUGUGGAGGAAACUAAACAAAUUCCAAGUCUUUCUACCUCUCCCUCCCACUCUUGAGAUGAAACAGCACAUAUAUCCAUUUCUGUAUUUCAGAAGUACAGCCUGGCCUUCCUCAGAGUUACCUAUUAUUCCACUGGAGAAAAUGAUAGAAAUUUGUGUAAUUUAAAGAGGACUGACCCAGCCUCCCUUUGCUCAGUGACAGGCUGUUUUUAUUCAAUCAGAAACUAUGAUCAGAUAAAAUAGUACUUUUCAUUCCUGACUUAACAACAAAUGGAGAGCAGUUGGUAUAUUUGUUUUGAAAGUUGUUUUUUUAAAAUCUUUCUACUCAAAUAAUCCUAUGUGGGUGUUGCUGACUCUGUGAUAUAUUAACGGCACCAUUUCUUUUCUACUAAUUGUAUGUUGGAUAAUACAAAAUUCCUAGUAAAAGCAAAACAUUGUGGUCAGGGUAUUACUGUUCUCAAACAGGAUAUGACAAAAGACAGGUAAGGAUAUUCUCUAAGAAGAGGCCUGUAUUAGAAGAAAAUUGAGUUAGGUGACUUAUUAGGAUUUUUAUUAAAUUUUAAGAACUUUCUGAUUUGUUUUGCUCUUAGCAGGGGCUCCUGCCCUGUCCUUUGAAAGCAUAUUAUGUCAUCUAUAACCAUAUAGUCCAUGAUUAACAUUUUGGAGAGCAUUUAAUUUUUAAAUGAACUAGGAAGAUGAGCACUUGGACUGUUUUUAAAACCGGAUAAGUAUUUCAUACCCUAUUAUGAAAUUUUUACCUCUUUUCUCUGACUCUGGUUAAAGUAUGUUUAGAGCCUCUUCAUUUCAGUUAAUGUUUUUUUCUUACUAAAUAAGAAAUUAAGGCCCCAAGUUAUGAAAUGAUUUGCUUCACUGCUGCUUAAUGACAAGAAACCCAAUUUCUAGAGUUCUUUCCAUCAAAUGUUGGUCUAUUUUACUAAUUUGCAUUAGUUUGGUUACAUCUCUCAGUGGUUUUUUUGUUUUGUUUUGUUUUGUUUUGUAUGUGUAUAGCUAUUCCAUUUUAUCCUCUAAUGAGGUAUUUGAGAAUCUUGAAAUUAAUCACUCAUUCACUCAUUCAUUCAGUAGAUAUUACUGAACCAAUAAUAUGUACAAGGGAUUUGAAAUGGCUAAUGUAGGAAUGGAGUACCAAGCUCAUAAGCCUCAAGAUGGUUUCAUGCUGGUAGGAGACACUUUAUACCAUGGCAAUUCUCCGGGCUGAGUCACCCUGCAGGCACAGUAAGCACUAAGUCUAGGCCAAUGAUAUUUUGGGAAACCAUGAAAUAUUUUAAUUUUAAUUUUAAUACCUUUCAAAUCAGAAGAAAAAAAAACAGAAUGUAUCCUACCUGAAUUAUAUUUGUCUUUAUACCAACACUGUCAUAAAACAUAGCUUUCACUACCUUUUUUUGUGGAUAAAGGGUAACACAAAAGCCAAAAGGCCCAGCAUACAAGAAAAUCAUAUUGUCUGGAAACAGUACCCCAAACAUUUUACCCCUCAAUUCCACCCUAAGGCAUUCAGAAAGCUGAUAAGUUCAGAAAGGGAUUUCUGCAUUAGCCCCAGUUCCCACCUCAGAGGCCAAUCUACAUAUCUCCCAUCUCCAUUCUGAAUAGCCCUCUCUGGAAUUUUGCUUCAGGCUGAAUUUUCCUUUGUAGAGGUCAGAUCACAAAGAUAGCUCAGGUGAUAUACCAGCAGACAACAGUUUUUGGAUCUUUGGAAGCAAGCAGGCCUUUUGUACAAACAUCCUAGAAUUAAAGCACCAUGUGUUGGUAAAGAUGGCGCCCAAGCGCUUCUCUUCUGGAAGCUCAGGUCCAUGAAUGGCGCCCGAACCAUCACCUCCAAUCCCUGUGAAUGGCCGGAACUUUGAAUGGCGCACCUCCAAUCCCUGAAGUUGUGCGAACUCUCAGCCAAUGAAGAAGUAACAGCCUACUUGCCCUGCUCCUCCUCAUCCUGCGUUGUUAAGCCAAUAAAUAUCAACACCCUGUUCUUGCUCUCUCUCUUACUCUCCCUCUCUUUCUCUCCCCCUCUCUCUUCCCCUCUCUCUCUCUCCUCUCUCUCUCUCUUCCCCCCACUUCUCUUCUGCGACUGGCCGCUAAGGUCCUGCCAAUAAAAUCUCAGGUAAACAGUU
Marmota monax (woodchuck) is the source of this 3856-nucleotide long non-coding RNA. RefSeq lists it as uncharacterized. The transcript is spliced from 2 exons. The record is from RefSeq and is a predicted model, not a curated record. NCBI's taxonomy places the organism in Eukaryota, Metazoa, Chordata, Mammalia, Rodentia, Sciuridae.